This 460-nucleotide ribosomal RNA is filed under the name uncultured bacterium. Its description in RNAcentral is "partial 16S ribosomal RNA". It matches the Rfam family "Bacterial small subunit ribosomal RNA", at positions 338 to 795 of the family's 1533-position model. The record is from RNAcentral.
CCUACGGGCGGCAGCAGUGAGGAAUAUUGGUCAAUGGGCGCGAGCCUGAACCAGCCAAGUAGCGUGAAGGAUGACGGCCCUACGGUUUGUAAACUUCUUUUAUAAGGGAAUAAAGUGAGGCACGUGUGCCUGUUUGUGUGUACUUUAUGAAUAAGGAUCGGCUAACUCCGUGCCAGCAGCCGCGGUAAUACGGAGGAUCCGAGCGUUGUCCGGAUUUAUUGGGUUUAAAGGGAGCGUAGAUGGGUUGUUAAGUCAGUUGUGAAAGUUUGGGGCUCAACCGUAAAAUUGCAUUUGAUACUGGCAGUCUUGAGUACAGGUGAGGUAGGCGGAAUUCGUGGUGUAGCGGUGAAAUGCUUAGAUAUCACGAAGAACUCCGAUUGCGAAGGCAGCUUGCUAAACUGCCACUGACGCUGAGGCUCGAAAGCGUGGGUAUCAAACAGGAUUAGAUACCCUAGUAGUC